UGGUAGACCCGGCAAGCUCACUAUUAAACCAAUAAAAGUAUUUAUAAUUUCGAUCGUCAUACAUUUGAAAUUCACAAUAGUGUUGAAAGUAGUUUUUACACAACAAUCUUCGAACAUAAUAUUAUCUAAUGGUGUUAUAGUUUUCACGUCCAUGCUUAUUAUGUCACGGAGAUUUUUUAUUAUGGCGUACAGAAAAAAAAUACUUACCGGUUGUGACACCGGCCUCAGAUUUGUUUUCUGUGACUACUUCGGAUUUAGCGGAGGUGACUUCCGAUCCGGUGACGGUGGAUGACUCGCUGGGGUCGCUUGAAC
This is a long non-coding RNA of Aphis gossypii (cotton aphid), 312 nucleotides long. RefSeq lists it as uncharacterized. Lineage: Eukaryota; Metazoa; Arthropoda; Insecta; Hemiptera; Aphididae. The transcript is spliced from 2 exons. The record is from RefSeq and is a predicted model, not a curated record.